Molecule: ribosomal RNA, 771 nt
Filed under: uncultured bacterium
Lineage: Bacteria
Description: bacterial SSU rRNA
Rfam family: Bacterial small subunit ribosomal RNA
Source: RNAcentral
AGAGUUUGAUCCUGGCUCAGGACGAACGCUGGCGGCGUGCUUAACACAUGCAAGUCGAGCGGUAAGGCCCUUCGGGGUACACGAGCGGCGAACGGGUGAGUAACACGUGGGUAACCUGCCCUGUACUCUGGGAUAAGCCUUGGAAACGAGGUCUAAUACCGGAUAUGACACUGGACCGCAUGGUUUGGUGUGGAAAGUUCCGGCGGUACAGGAUGGACCCGCGGCCUAUCAGCUUGUUGGUGGGGUAAUGGCCUACCAAGGCGACGACGGGUAGCCGGCCUGAGAGGGUGACCGGCCACACUGGGACUGAGACACGGCCCAGACUCCUACGGGAGGCAGCAGUGGGGAAUAUUGCACAAUGGGCGAAAGCCUGAUGCAGCGACGCCGCGUGAGGGAUGACGGCCUUCGGGUUGUAAACCUCUUUCAGCAGGGACGAAGCGCAAGUGACGGUACCUGCAGAAGAAGCACCGGCUAACUACGUGCCAGCAGCCGCGGUAAUACGUAGGGUGCGAGCGUUGUCCGGAAUUAUUGGGCGUAAAGAGCUCGUAGGCGGUUUGUCGCGUCGGCCGUGAAAACUUGGGGCUUAACUCCAAGCUUGCGGUCGAUACGGGCAGACUUGAGUUCGGCAGGGGAGACUGGAAUUCCUGGUGUAGCGGUGAAAUGCGCAGAUAUCAGGAGGAACACCGGUGGCGAAGGCGGGUCUCUGGGCCGACACUGACGCUGAGGAGCGAAAGCGUGGGGAGCGAACAGGAUUAGAUACCCUAGUAGUCC